UUACCAACGUUUUAGGCUUUAUUAGUAAUAUGGUUAACACUAUAAUUAAUAGGUAAAGUACGGAAUUGCAUGGCUGUCGUCAGUUCGUGCUGUGAAGUUUAGGAUUAAGUUCUUUUCAACGAAUGUAACCCUAUAAGUAAGUUUUUAUAAUGUACAAAAUAAAUGUAUAAUAUAUACUUAUUUAAUCUAUAACUGAAUAUAUUGAAAUCUUUUUUGUAUAUUUAGUUAUAGGGGUUUUAGGCUGAAGUCAAGUCCCUAUGGUCUUUAUACGUUGGGCUACACACGUGUUACAAGGGUAAAAACAAAGAGACGCAAUAGAGUAAUCUGGAGCAAAUCUCUAAAAAUUAUCUUAGUUCAGAUUGUUUCAUGAAAUUCUGAAACAUGAAGAUGAAAUCGUUAGUAAUUGUAAAUUAUUAUGUUACAGUGAAAUAUUAGUCAAAUUUUGCACACACCGCC
Molecule: ribosomal RNA, 456 nt
Filed under: Tetrahymena borealis
Lineage: Eukaryota; Ciliophora; Oligohymenophorea; Hymenostomatida; Tetrahymenidae
Description: SSU rRNA
Rfam family: Bacterial small subunit ribosomal RNA
Source: RNAcentral